UGGUAUACAUGUAUAUAUUUUCAUAUAUACAUACAUAAUAAAAGUCACUGUGCAAGUCAAUUGCGGGAACUUUUUGGCUUUGAAGUGCUUGGGCUACUAAUGUCAUUUAACCCACACUAGUAACAAAUAUUCAAAUACAUAACUAAAGUUCUAUUAUGAAAUAUAUAAAUUUUAACUUAUUUAUUAUUUUUUUCAAGCAAUAUUCUUAAGGACCGGAAAUAUUUUUGAAAUGCUGCGUCAUUACAAAAUAAAUAGAAAAUAAUGUGCGUUAAUGAGUGUAACGUUUUUUUAUCGAUUACGUACUUGCACACAUAUUUGUAUUUUUGUUGUUGCUGAGAACUACACCAUUUGUCUGCUGGGUUUUGCAUAUGCAUGUAUUAGUGGGAGUAUUUCUGAUUUUGCCAUUUUAUGUAAUUUAAAAGUGCAAAGUCAUAGUUUGAUUAACUAAAAUAGCAGAUAUUGUAUUGGUAUGAUGCAUAGGCUUGGGGUUUACAAUUGCUCUUCAAACACAUUUAAUGAUCAAACGGAGGAUCCUGAAAAUAAAUUCUAUGAUACUGAAGGAUUUUUACGAAAUCAAUAAUUUACUUGUAUUACGCCAAUACGAUCGAUAAAACAGCCGUUCCCACGACAGGCGGGUCUAUUGUAACCGAAACGGAGCCGAUACAACAUGAAUAGCAUGACAAAUUGGAAUAUAUACAAAUCAAUGUCUCAAAAUAACGUAAUUGUUAAAUAAGUACAUAUGUACAUGUUUUUAAAAAUGUAUAUGUAUACAGUAUGCACAUAAUAAUGGUAAUCCUUAAAUCCUGAAGGCAGUAAUCAGCGAAGUCAUUUUUUAAUUACAAGUCAUAGGGUUACAUCUACGGAAAUAUUUCUUUAUCAGCUAUGGAAU
Molecule: long non-coding RNA, 889 nt
Organism: Bactrocera dorsalis (oriental fruit fly)
Lineage: Eukaryota; Metazoa; Arthropoda; Insecta; Diptera; Tephritidae
Exons: 2
Source: RefSeq, a predicted model, not a curated record